This is a non-coding RNA of Acanthosepion pharaonis, 98 nucleotides long. The record is from the annotation of a GenBank genome assembly. Lineage: Eukaryota; Metazoa; Mollusca; Cephalopoda; Sepiida; Sepiidae.
UUGAAAUACCAAUUCCCGUACGAUCACCGAAGUUAAGCAACGUCGAGCGUUGUCAGUACCUAGAUGGGUGACCGUUUGUGAAUAUUAGGCGCUGUAAU